This 429-nucleotide ribosomal RNA is filed under the name Chloroflexota bacterium. Its description in RNAcentral is "Chloroflexi bacterium partial 16S ribosomal RNA". It matches the Rfam family "Bacterial small subunit ribosomal RNA", at positions 355 to 776 of the family's 1533-position model. Lineage: Bacteria; Bacillati; Chloroflexota. The record is from RNAcentral.
UGGGGAAUAUUGCACAAUGGGCGCAAGCCUGAUGCAGCCAUGCCGCGUGUAUGAAGAAGGCCUUCGGGUUGUAAAGUACUUUCAGCGGGGAGGAAGGGAGUAAAGUUAAUACCUUUGCUCAUUGACGUUACCCGCAGAAGAAGCACCGGCUAACUCCGUGCCAGCAGCCGCGGUAAUACGGAGGGUGCAAGCGUUAAUCGGAAUUACUGGGCGUAAAGCGCACGCAGGCGGUUUGUUAAGUCAGAUGUGAAAUCCCCGGGCUCAACCUGGGAACUGCAUCUGAUACUGGCAUGCUUGAGUCUCGUAGAGGGGGGUAGAAUUCCAGGUGUAGCGGUGAAAUGCGUAGAGAUCUGGAGGAAUACCGGUGGCGAAGGCGGCCCCCUGUACGAAGACUGACGCUCAGGUUCGCAAGCGUGGGGAGCAAACAGG